GCUUGGCGGCGUGCCUAAUACAUGCAAGUCGAACGAGUUCUCGUUGAUGAUCGGUGCUUGCACCGAGAUUCAACAUGGAACGAGUGGCGGACGGGUGAGUAACACGUGGGUAACCUGCCCUUAAGUGGGGGAUAACAUUUGGAAACAGAUGCUAAUACCGCAUAGAUCCAAGAACCGCAUGGUUCUUGGCUGAAAGAUGGCGUAAGCUAUCGCUUUUGGAUGGACCCGCGGCGUAUUAGCUAGUUGGUGAGGUAAUGGCUCACCAAGGCGAUGAUACGUAGCCGAACUGAGAGGUUGAUCGGCCACAUUGGGACUGAGACACGGCCCAAACUCCUACGGGAGGCAGCAGUAGGGAAUCUUCCACAAUGGACGCAAGUCUGAUGGAGCAACGCCGCGUGAGUGAAGAAGGCUUUCGGGUCGUAAAACUCUGUUGUUGGAGAAGAAUGGUCGGCAGAGUAACUGUUGUCGGCGUGACGGUAUCCAACCAGAAAGCCACGGCUAACUACGUGCCAGCAGCCGCGGUAAUACGUAGGUGGCAAGCGUUAUCCGGAUUUAUUGGGCGUAAAGCGAGCGCAGGCGGUUUUUUAAGUCUGAUGUGAAAGCCCUCGGCUUAACCGAGGAAGCGCAUCGGAAACUGGGAAACUUGAGUGCAGAAGAGGACAGUGGAACUCCAUGUGUAGCGGUGAAAUGCGUAGAUAUAUGGAAGAACACCAGUGGCGAAGGCGGCUGUCUGGUCUGUAACUGACGCUGAGGCUCGAAAGCAUGGGUAGCGAACAGGAUUAGAUACCCUGGUAGUCCAUGCCGUAAACGAUGAAUGCUAGGUGUUGGAGGGUUUCCGCCCUUCAGUGCCGCAGCUAACGCAUUAAGCAUUCCGCCUGGGGAGUACGACCGCAAGGUUGAAACUCAAAGGAAUUGACGGGGGCCCGCACAAGCGGUGGAGCAUGUGGUUUAAUUCGAAGCAACGCGAAGAACCUUACCAGGUCUUGACAUCUUUUGAUCACCUGAGAGAUCAGGUUUCCCCUUCGGGGGCAAAAUGACAGGUGGUGCAUGGUUGUCGUCAGCUCGUGUCGUGAGAUGUUGGGUUAAGUCCCGCAACGAGCGCAACCCUUAUGACUAGUUGCCAGCAUUUAGUUGGGCACUCUAGUAAGACUGCCGGUGACAAACCGGAGGAAGGUGGGGAUGACGUCAAAUCAUCAUGCCCCUUAUGACCUGGGCUACACACGUGCUACAAUGGAUGGUACAACGAGUUGCGAGACCGCGAGGUCAAGCUAAUCUCUUAAAGCCAUUCUCAGUUCGGACUGUAGGCUGCAACUCGCCUACACGAAGUCGGAAUCGCUAGUAAUCGCGGAUCAGCACGCCGCGGUGAAUACGUUCCCGGGCCUUGUACACACCGCCCGUCACACCAUGAGAGUUUGUAACACCCGAAGCCGGUGGCGUAACCCUUUUAGGGAGCGAGCCGUCUAAGGUGGGACAAAUGAUUAGGG
RNAcentral lists this ribosomal RNA (1484 nucleotides) under Lacticaseibacillus casei. Its description in RNAcentral is "bacterial SSU rRNA". It matches the Rfam family "Bacterial small subunit ribosomal RNA". The record is from RNAcentral. Lineage: Bacteria; Bacillati; Bacillota; Bacilli; Lactobacillales; Lactobacillaceae.